This 236-nucleotide long non-coding RNA is filed under the name Homo sapiens (human). Its description in RNAcentral is "HSALNT0110206". The record is from RNAcentral. Lineage: Eukaryota; Metazoa; Chordata; Mammalia; Primates; Hominidae.
CGACACAUGGAGAGACGCAGAAAGGAAUGGAGACACCUGGAGGAGUUCUGUUCCUGGAUUCCAGUUGCUUCUGCAUCACGUGUCCUUGCUCUUUCUCAGCUGGAACCAGCUUGGUUCCAGGAACACCCUGUCCCAAGUAAUCAUCUGACCAGGCUUAAAAAUACAAAGUGGGUUCUACAUUGUAAGUUACCUUGCAGUGGCAGAAAUGUAUGAUCUUCUUACAAGGCAAAUGGAAG